CAGCAGCCGCGGUAAUACGAAGGGUGCAAGCGUUAAUCGGAAUUACUGGGCGUAAAGGGUGCGUAGGCGGUUGUUUAAGUCUGUUGUGAAAGCCCUGGGCUCAACCUGGGAAUUGCAGUGGAUACUGGGUCACUAGAGUGUGGUAGAGGAUAGUGGAAUUUCCGGUGUAGCAGUGAAAUGCGUAGAGAUCGGAAGGAACAUCUGUGGCGAAGGCGGCCAUCUGGGACAACACUGACACUGAGGCACGAAAGCGUGGGGAGCAAACAGGAUUAGAUACCCCUGUAGUCCCUGUCUCUUAUAC
This 301-nucleotide ribosomal RNA is filed under the name uncultured bacterium. Its description in RNAcentral is "partial 16S ribosomal RNA". It matches the Rfam family "Bacterial small subunit ribosomal RNA", at positions 509 to 807 of the family's 1533-position model. The record is from RNAcentral.